UUUUAAUAUCCUAUAUUUAAUUAAGCAUAAUGUAAAUGCUAAAAAAAAGGGUUUAUAAGAUCAAACAUAUUUUUGGGAAUAAAAUUUCUGUCAUGCUGCUGUAUUUUAAUGUUGCCAUGGUAGUACUUUGAAAAUUCCGCUGUUUUUUGAGGUGGGUACGUGGUAUAAGAAGUUUUAGAACCACAGAAGAUGACUUCAUAGCAAAUAGCAGUCAUGUGUUGUGCACAAACACAUGUAGCCAAUAGAAGCACACUGCACA
Long non-coding RNA from Hippocampus comes (tiger tail seahorse), 259 nucleotides. RefSeq lists it as uncharacterized. NCBI's taxonomy places the organism in Eukaryota, Metazoa, Chordata, Actinopteri, Syngnathiformes, Syngnathidae. The record is from RefSeq and is a predicted model, not a curated record. The transcript is spliced from 2 exons.